Long non-coding RNA from Gopherus flavomarginatus (Mexican gopher tortoise), 753 nucleotides. RefSeq lists it as uncharacterized. The transcript is spliced from 2 exons. The record is from RefSeq and is a predicted model, not a curated record. NCBI's taxonomy places the organism in Eukaryota, Metazoa, Chordata, Testudines, Testudinidae.
GAAAGACAAUGGCUUACCAUGGAUGCAUGCAAGCUGAAUUCUGCUGCCCGGACCUGCGUCUGUGAGAUCUCUAACACCAGAGCCGCAGGCACUCAAUAUUAAGAUGCAAAAUGCGACCUUGUAGUGAAAUCACAUGUGCUAUGUAAGAUGCAAAUUUUUCAAGCCUCUCUACUCCAUCAGAUGUCUGUCUCAGAUAAGGCGGCAGAAAAAAAAGACGUGAGACGAAAUGUUCUCGGAAAUCAUGGAAGUGACCCGCAAUGAAAGAGCUCAUCUGAAUGAGUGGAAGGACGUGGUAUCAAAUUACAGGAAAGAUGUUAGUGAACGUGAGGACAGGAGGGACGCUCGAGAUGUGCGGUGGCGGCAGGAAGAUCAGAGGUGUAGGCAGGAAGAUCAGCGGUGGCGGGAUGCAACGCUGGGGCUGCUGCGUGAUCAAACUGACAUCCUCCGACGUCUGGUGGAGCUUCAGGAACAGCAGCAGGAACACAGAGUGCCACUGUACCCCUGCGUAACCACCCUCACCAUGUUCCAUAUCCUCCUCACCCAGACGUGUAAGAACGCGUGGAGGAAGGCUUCGUGCACCCGCCCACUCCACCCCCACGGACAGCCCAACCAAAAAGCUGUCAUUACAUUGAAAUUUUUUUAAUGGCCUUUUCCUUCCCUCCUAUCUUCCUCCCAAACCACACCCGGGCUACCUUGUCAGUUCUCUCCCUCUUUUUAUAAUGAAUUAAUAAAGAAUACAUGAUUUUUAAAUGA